UACGGGGGGGGCAAGCGUUGUUCGGAAUUACUGGGCGUAAAGGGCUCGUAGGCGGCCAACUAAGUCAGACGUGAAAUCCCUCGGCUUAACCGGGGAACUGCGUCUGAUACUGGAUGGCUUGAGUUUGGGAGAGGGAUGCGGAAUUCCAGGUGUAGCGGUGAAAUGCGUAGAUAUCUGGAGGAACACCGGUGGCGUAGGCGGCAUCCUGGACCAACACUGACGCUGAGUGAGCGAAAGCCAGGGGAGCAAACGGG
This 254-nucleotide ribosomal RNA is filed under the name uncultured bacterium. RNAcentral describes it as "partial 16S ribosomal RNA". It matches the Rfam family "Bacterial small subunit ribosomal RNA", at positions 524 to 776 of the family's 1533-position model. The record is from RNAcentral.